UACGAAGGGGGCUAGCGUUGUUCGGAAUUACUGGGCGUAAAGCGCACGCAGGCGGAUAUUUAAGUCAGGGGUGAAAUCCCGGGGCUCAACCCCGGAACUGCCUUUGAUACUGGGUAUCUCGAGUCCGAGAGAGGUGAGUGGAAUUCCGAGUGUAGAGGUGAAAUUCGUAGAUAUCUGGAGGAAUACCGGUGGCGAAGGCGGCAUCCUGGACCGGCAUUGACGCUGAGGAGCGAAAGCCAGGGGAGCAAACGGG
Molecule: ribosomal RNA, 253 nt
Filed under: uncultured bacterium
Lineage: Bacteria
Description: partial 16S ribosomal RNA
Rfam family: Bacterial small subunit ribosomal RNA
Source: RNAcentral